This is a long non-coding RNA of Brassica napus (rape), 1639 nucleotides long. RefSeq lists it as uncharacterized. NCBI's taxonomy places the organism in Eukaryota, Viridiplantae, Streptophyta, Magnoliopsida, Brassicales, Brassicaceae. The transcript has 7 exons. The record is from RefSeq and is a predicted model, not a curated record.
UCUCUAACGCGUCGCUCACUCAGUUCAUAUGUGGUUCUUCUUGGUGGCUCUCCUAUUGACUGGAAGACUAAGUAACAGGACACAGUCUCUCACUCGUUAGCUGAAACUGAAUAUCGUGCAAUGGCAGCAGCAGUUCGCGAAAUGAAGUGGAUUGUUCCUCUUGUCAAAGACCUCGGCAUUACACCAUCCACGCCCGUGCCAUUUUAUUGUGAUAGUCAGGCUGCAAUUCACAUUGCAUCAAAUCCUGUGUUUCACGAACGCACUAAGCAUAUUGAACGGGACUGUCAUAGCGUCUGCGAUGCUGCCAAAGCGGAUCUCAUCACAAUGCGUCAUGUUCGUACAAAGGAUCAACUAGCUGACAUCCUUACCAAAGCCCUUGGUCGACCUCAGUUUGAGUUCUUAUUGUCCAAGUUGGGAGUUCAGAAUCUUCACUCUCCAACUUGAGGGGGAGUAUUAGGAUCAUAUUGAAUAUUCCCAUUGUUAAGAUAAGGAUAACUUCCAUUAUGUUAGGGAUAUUUCCUAUUCUUGUUUCAUGAAGAUCUUCCUUUUCGGUUGUAUAUAUACAUUGUAAACCCUAUUCUUGUUCAAUAAGAAAGUGUUUCUUACAUCACGAGUCCUUAGUUUACAUAAGCUUCGGUUUUUGUCUAUCUAAUACACUAAUCCUAGCAUUUACAUAGUUUGUACCACUUCUCCCACUCUCUCCGAUAAAUCCAAGGUCACCGCUUCAACUCCGCCUAUAAAUGUGUUUGUUGCCUGCGAUGCACAGACUCACCGCUCGGAAAUCAGAAAUGAAAAUAUCUUUGAAGCAUCAACACCCACCAUGGCGAUUUUGUUACUGCUUUUCUCCUUUUUAGUUGAUCAAAUCUUUAUUUCUGGAUAGCGAUCAUUCCAAAAGUUAUAUCCAAGACACUUGGUGGGCAUGCUCGCCGAGUCUAUGUUGGUGGAUUUUCACCUGCGGCAAAUGAACAGGUUAGUAUCCACUUUUUUUUUCCCAGUGUUUGAUACUAACAUUGAUUUACUUUCCUAUGUUGCAGGUAGUGGCUACAUUAUUUAGUCAAGUUAUGACUGCUGUUGGUGGAAACACUGCUGGUCCAGUUGAUGCUGUUGUUAAUGUUUAUGUAAACCAUGAGAAGUUUGCUUUUGUGGAGAUGCGAUCUUUUGAAGAGGCAAGUAACACAAUGUCUUUGGAUGGCAUGAUAUUUGAGAUAUUGCGUGCGCUGCGGCGUCAAAAUGGGAGAUAACACUCUUACUGUGAGACGUGCGAAUCAAGGAAUAACGCAACAUCAACCUGAACAAGAGAGUAUAUUGUUGCAUGCACAACAGCAGAUUGCUUUUCAGGUGCGUGGACAAAUGUUGUGAUUCCGCGUCCUAUCCCCAGCGGUGAGCCAGUUGCAGGCCUUGGCAAGUUAAUAUAUAGGGUAUAAGCGACAUAAAGAAGCUCUCAAGUAUCUUAAAGAUUUCAAGUGGAAUAGGGUUGAAGAACCAAAAGAGUUCACACUUGAGCUAUUCUUUGUGGCUUAUUGCACUGAAGAACAACGAGAUUGUCGGCUUCGAGAACUCUUACUACCAGAACACUGUCUUCACCAAGACAUAUCACAUGAUUGAUAAAUAUAAGCUUAUCUCGAGAAGGUCAUUGGGU